GGUAUUUUGACUAUACGAAGGUAUUGAAAUAAGAUUUUAAAUGAGUGCUAAGAGAAUGAUUAAACAAUUAAAAGCUUUCUUUAAUUGAAUAAUUGAAUUUAAUUUUUUAGUGCAAAAGCAAAAAUAAAAAUUAGGGACAAGAAGACCCUAUGAAUUUUUAUUAAAUUUUAUAAAACUUUAUAUAAAAUUUAAUUUAAUUGGGGUGAUGGAAAAAGAAUAAAUAUCUUUUUUUUUAAAAAAAAAUUGGUUCCGUUUUUAGCGAUUAAAUGAAAAAAAUACUCUAGGGAUAACAGCGUAAUAAUUUUGGAUAGUUCAUAUAGAUAAAAUAGUUUGCGACCUCGAUGUUGGAUUAGGAUUCUUUUUUGGUGAAGAAGUUAAAAAAAGAAG
This 387-nucleotide ribosomal RNA is filed under the name Ixodes ricinus (castor bean tick). Its description in RNAcentral is "partial large subunit ribosomal RNA". Lineage: Eukaryota; Metazoa; Arthropoda; Arachnida; Ixodida; Ixodidae. The record is from RNAcentral.